Molecule: transfer RNA, 72 nt
Filed under: Camelus ferus (Wild Bactrian camel)
Lineage: Eukaryota; Metazoa; Chordata; Mammalia; Artiodactyla; Camelidae
Rfam family: tRNA
About the family: Transfer RNA (tRNA) molecules are approximately 80 nucleotides in length. Their secondary structure includes four short double-helical elements and three loops (D, anti-codon, and T loops). Further hydrogen bonds mediate the characteristic L-shaped molecular structure. tRNAs have two regions of fundamental functional importance: the anti-codon, which is responsible for specific mRNA codon recognition, and the 3' end, to which the tRNAs corresponding amino acid is attached (by aminoacyl-tRNA synthetases). tRNAs cope with the degeneracy of the genetic code in two manners: having more than one tRNA (with a specific anti-codon) for a particular amino acid; and 'wobble' base-pairing, i.e. permitting non-standard base-pairing at the 3rd anti-codon position.
Source: Rfam by way of RNAcentral
GAGGGUAUAGCUCAAUGGUAGAGUGUGUGCUUAGUGUGUAUGACGUCCUGGGUUCAAUCCCCAGUGCCUUCA